CCUACGCGCGGCAGCAGUGGGGAAUCUUCCGCAAUGGGCGAAAGCCUGACGGAGCACCGCCGCGUGAUCGAAUGAAGGCCUUCGGGUUGUAAAGAUCUGUUGACAGGGACGAAUAAGCCAUGCGAAUAGUUUGGUGUAUGACGGUACCUGUUUAGAAAGCUCCGGAUAACUACGUGCCAGCAGCCGCGGUUAUACGUAGGGAGUAAGCGUUGUCCGGAAUUACUGGGCGUAAAGGGCGCGUAGGUGGGUGCUUAAGUCAGGUGUGAAAACUCUGGGCUCAACCUGGAGACUGCACUUGAAACUGGGUAUCUUGAGGGCAGGAGAGGAAAGUGGAAUUCCUAGUGUAGCGGUGAAAUGCGUAGAUAUUAGGAGGAACACCAGUGGCGAAGGCGACUUUCUGGACUGUACCUGACGCUGAGGCGCGAAAGCGUGGGUAGCGAACGGGAUUAGAUACCCUUGUAGUC
This 464-nucleotide ribosomal RNA is filed under the name uncultured bacterium. RNAcentral's name for it is "partial 16S ribosomal RNA". It matches the Rfam family "Bacterial small subunit ribosomal RNA", at positions 338 to 795 of the family's 1533-position model. The record is from RNAcentral.